Molecule: long non-coding RNA, 402 nt
Organism: Centruroides sculpturatus (bark scorpion)
Lineage: Eukaryota; Metazoa; Arthropoda; Arachnida; Scorpiones; Buthidae
Exons: 3
Source: RefSeq, a predicted model, not a curated record
UGCUUGCAAAACCUUCGCGGACGAAGUCGCGGGUAACAGCUAGUUUGUGACAUGUCACUGCUCAAACUACUCGUCCAAGCUAACUGCUUCGAGAACAUCAUCUCGAGUUUGUCGAUGUCACCGAUAUAGUAAUAAUUUUAGAAAUUUUUUUUACCUUGCAACAACUCUAGUUUAUAACCUUUACCAUACAUAUUAUUUUUUCAGAUCCAUCCAAAGAAGAUGUGGUAAAGUUUUCCAAACCUGAUUAUCUUUCAAGUGAUUUUGUGAUUUCUCCGAAUGAAAUACAUAAACAUAUAACAUUUCCUUUUUCCACGCUCUGUAAGUACAAGAAAUUCAGAUGUAAAUUAAACAAACUGAAUGGAACUGAAUUCAAUAAUUUUGUGGAACAAGUAAAAAAUGGGG